UUUCUGUCUUACUUAUGAUCUCAAAGCUGAAGAAGAGACAAGUUCUUGGAAGAAGCUGAUAAAUGUCUCUGUUUCUGGUGCUGCCGGAAUGAUCGCUAAUCAUUUUCUUUUUAAACUUGCAUCAGGUGAAGUUUUUGGGCCAGAUCAACCAGUCGCAUUAAAAUUAUUGGGGUCUGAGCGGUCGAUCCAAGCCCUUGAAGGAGUUGCUAUGGAGUUGGAGGAUUCUUUAUUUCCUCUUCUGAGAGAGGUAAACAUAAGCAUCAAUCCAUAUGAGGUGUUCCGAGAUGUAGAAUGGGCACUUCUGAUUGGAGCAAAGCCCCGAGGCCCAGGAAUGGAGCGUGCCGGCUUAUUAGAUAUUAAUGGGCAAAUUUUUGCUGAG
This 379-nucleotide unclassified non-coding RNA is filed under the name Hevea brasiliensis (rubber tree). The record is from RNAcentral. Lineage: Eukaryota; Viridiplantae; Streptophyta; Magnoliopsida; Malpighiales; Euphorbiaceae.